CCUACGGUGUGCAGCAGUGGGGAAUAUUGCACAAUGGGGGAAACCCUGAUGCAGCGACGCCGCGUGAGUGAAGAAGUAUUUCGGUAUGUAAAGCUCUAUCAGCAGGGAAGAAAAUGACGGUACCUGACUAAGAAGCCCCGGCUAACUACGUGCCAGCAGCCGCGGUAAUACGUAGGGGGCAAGCGUGAUCCGGAUGUACUGGGGGUAAAGGGAGCGUAGACGGCAGAGCAAGUCUGACGUGAAAGCCCGCGGCCCAACUGCGGGACUGCUUUGGAAACUGGCCGGCUAGAGUGCUGGAGAGGUAAGCGGAAUUCGUGGUGUAGCGGUGAAAUGCGUAGAUAUUAGGAGGAACCCCGGUGGCGAAGGCGGCUGACUGGACAGUAACUGACGUUGAGGCUCGAAAGCGUGGGGAGCAAACAGGAUUAGAUACCCGUGUAGUC
Molecule: ribosomal RNA, 440 nt
Filed under: uncultured bacterium
Lineage: Bacteria
Description: partial 16S ribosomal RNA
Rfam family: Bacterial small subunit ribosomal RNA
Source: RNAcentral